GUGCAAGCGUUAUCCGGAUUUACUGGGUUUAAAGGGUUUGUCGGCGGUCUUUUAAGUCAGCGGUGAAAUCUCCGGGCUCAACCCGGAAACUGCCAUUGAUACUAUUGGUCUUGAAUGUUGUUGAGGUGGGCGGAACGGGUCAUGUAGCGGUGAAAUGCAUAGAUAUGACCCGGAACACCGAUUGCGAAGGCAGCCCACUAAGCAAGGAUUGACGCUGAGGCACGAAAGCGUGGGGAGCAAACAGG
RNAcentral lists this ribosomal RNA (245 nucleotides) under uncultured bacterium. RNAcentral describes it as "partial 16S ribosomal RNA". It matches the Rfam family "Bacterial small subunit ribosomal RNA", at positions 532 to 776 of the family's 1533-position model. The record is from RNAcentral.